Molecule: transfer-messenger RNA, 343 nt
Filed under: uncultured Gellertiella sp.
Lineage: Bacteria; Pseudomonadati; Pseudomonadota; Alphaproteobacteria; Hyphomicrobiales; Rhizobiaceae
Description: Alphaproteobacteria transfer-messenger RNA
Rfam family: Alphaproteobacteria transfer-messenger RNA
About the family: Bacterial tmRNA, also known as 10Sa RNA or SsrA, is named for its dual tRNA and mRNA-like properties. Its role is to liberate the mRNA from a stalled ribosome.
Source: RNAcentral
CAAACCCCUAUAUGUCUCUUGCCGGUCCUCGGAUCGGCUAUGGCAAUAAACUGACGGUGAAAUAAACCUAUUGGACCCGGGGGCGGUACCCGGCGCCUCCACCACAAACCGCCGGCAAGGGCGGCUUCUGAUGGGGGCGAAAUAGGAUCGACAAGGGUGUAAAGAUCGUUCUUUUGCUCGGCAUGAUACCGCCGUUAUCGGGUCAAAAAGUGUAGUUGCAAACGACAACAACGCUAAGGGUUAUGCUCUCGCUGCCUAAUGGCGGUGCGGGAAACCCGACCUAAGCCCUCCUGGUUAGCACCUUGAGGCGGGGUUCGGAGGUACCUGGCAACAGAAACCUCCA